GUGUCAGCCGCCGCGGUAAGACAGAGGUGGCUAGCGUUGUUCGGUAUCACUGGGCUUAAAGCGUGUGUAGGCGGGAACGUAAGCAUUUUGUGAAAUCCCCCGGCUUAACCGGGGAAUUGCUUGAUGUACUGCGUUUCUUGAGGCAGGUAGGGGUGCGAGGAACUCUUGGUGGAGCGGUGGAAUGCGUAGAUAUCAAGAGGAACGCCGGUGGUGAAGACGUCGCACUGGGCCUGUCCUGACGCUGAGACACGAAAGCGUGGGGAGCGAACGGGAUUAGAUACCCGCGUAGUCC
This 292-nucleotide ribosomal RNA is filed under the name uncultured bacterium. RNAcentral describes it as "partial 16S ribosomal RNA". It matches the Rfam family "Bacterial small subunit ribosomal RNA", at positions 505 to 796 of the family's 1533-position model. The record is from RNAcentral.